Molecule: small RNA, 35 nt
Filed under: Bombyx mori (domestic silkworm)
Lineage: Eukaryota; Metazoa; Arthropoda; Insecta; Lepidoptera; Bombycidae
Description: ovarian small RNA-13670
Source: RNAcentral
CCCCGGAUGGCUCAUACGACAGAGCAUUGGACUUU